Molecule: non-coding RNA, 74 nt
Organism: Ameiurus melas (black bullhead)
Lineage: Eukaryota; Metazoa; Chordata; Actinopteri; Siluriformes; Ictaluridae
Source: the annotation of a GenBank genome assembly
GUCCCAGUGGCCUAAUGGAUAAGGCAUUGGCCUCCCUAAUAAGCGGAUUGUGGGUUCGAGUCCCAUCUGGGGUG